UUGAGUAUUCGCCAAAUUGGUAAGGCAGAGGACUCUGAAUCCUUAAUUUACUGGUUCGAAUCCAGUAUACUCAAU
Molecule: transfer RNA, 75 nt
Filed under: Apilactobacillus kunkeei
Lineage: Bacteria; Bacillati; Bacillota; Bacilli; Lactobacillales; Lactobacillaceae
Description: tRNA-Gln
Rfam family: tRNA
About the family: Transfer RNA (tRNA) molecules are approximately 80 nucleotides in length.
Source: RNAcentral